This 640-nucleotide small RNA is filed under the name uncultured fungus. RNAcentral describes it as "eukaryotic LSU rRNA". The stretch from base 216 to 370 matches the Rfam family "5.8S ribosomal RNA". Lineage: Eukaryota; Fungi. The record is from RNAcentral.
GGAAGGAUCAUUACCGAAUUGUCAACAUGAAGUUGUUGCUGGCCCUCAAAUGGGGGCAUGUGCACACUCUGUUUACACAUCCACUCACACCUGUGCACUCUCUGUAGUACUGUGGUCUGGGGGUUCUGUCCUCCUACUGUGGUUCUGCGUAUUUAUACACACACACUGUAAUAAAGUUUCAUGGAAUGUAUGCCGCGUUUAACGCAAUGAAAUACAACUUUCAGCAACGGAUCUCUUGGCUCUCGCAUCGAUGAAGAACGCAGCGAAAUGCGAUAAGUAAUGUGAAUUGCAGAAUUCAGUGAAUCAUCGAAUCUUUGAACGCACCUUGCGCCCUUUGGCUAUUCCGAAGGGCAUGCCUGUUUGAGUAUCAUGAACACCUCAACUCUCAUGGCUUGCCACGAUGAGCUUGGACUUGGGGGGUUUUGCUGGCCUACGGUCAGCUCCCCUCAAAUGCAUUAGCUUUCCAGCAUUUGGUGGCAUCACAGGUGUGAUAAACAUCUACACGUGUGGUUCCCCACCAUGUAACCUUCAGUGAUGGAGGUUCACUGGAGCUCACAAAUGUCUUUCCUCAGUGAAGACAGUUCUUUGAUUGUUUGAUCUCAAAUCAGGUAGGACUACCCGCUGAACUUAAGCAUAUCAA